GACGAACGCUGGCGGCGUGCUUAACACAUGCAAGUCGAACGCUGAAGCUCAGCUUUUGUUGGGUGGAUGAGUGGCGAACGGGUGAGUAACACGUGAGUAACCUGCCCCCUUCUUUGGGAUAACGCCCGGAAACGGGUGCUAAUACUGGAUAUUCACUGGUCUUCGCCUGGGGGUUGGUGGAAAGGGGUUUUUUGGUGGGGGAUGGGGUCGUGGCCUAUCAGCGUGUUGGUGGGGUGAUGGCGUACCAAGGCUUUGACGGGUAGCCGGCCUGAGAGGGUGACCGGUCACAGUGGGACGGAGAUACGGCCCAGACUCGUACGGGAGGCAGCAGUGGGGAAUAUUGCACAAUGGGCGCAAGCCUGAUGCAGCGACGCCGCGUAAGGGAUGGGGGCCUUCGGGUUGUGAACCUCGUUCGCACAUGGUCAAGCCGCAACAAUGGUUGUGGUGAGGGUAGUGGGUAAAGAAGCGCCGGCUAACUACGUG
This 483-nucleotide ribosomal RNA is filed under the name uncultured bacterium. Its description in RNAcentral is "partial 16S ribosomal RNA". It matches the Rfam family "Bacterial small subunit ribosomal RNA", at positions 28 to 507 of the family's 1533-position model. The record is from RNAcentral.